This 467-nucleotide ribosomal RNA is filed under the name uncultured bacterium. RNAcentral's name for it is "partial 16S ribosomal RNA". It matches the Rfam family "Bacterial small subunit ribosomal RNA", at positions 28 to 506 of the family's 1533-position model. The record is from RNAcentral.
GACGAACGCUGGCGGCGUGCUUAACACAUGCAAGUCGAACGGAAAGGCCCUGCUUUUGUGGGGUGCUCGAGUGGCGAACGGGUGAGUAACACGUGAGUAACCUGCCCUUGACUUUGGUAUAACUUCAGGAAACUGGGGCUAAUACCGGAUAGGAGCUCCUGCUGCAUGGUGGGGGUUGGAAAGUUUCGGCGGUUGGGGAUGGACUCGCGGCUUAUCAGCUUGUUGGUGGGGUAGUGGCUUACCAAGGCUUUGACGGGUAGCCGGCCUGAGAGGGUGACCGGCCACAUUGGGACUGAGAUACGGCCCAGACUCCUACGGGAGGAAGCAGUGGGGAAUAUUGCACAAUGGGCGGAAGCCUGAUGCAGCAACGCCGCGUGCGGGAUGACGGCCUUCGGGUUGUAAACCGCUUUCGCCUGUGACGAAGCGUGAGUGACGGUAAUGGGUAAAGAAGCACCGGCUACCUACGU